GACGAACGCUGGCGGCGUGCUUAACACAUGCAAGUCGAACGGAAAGGCCCUGCUUUUGUGGGGUGCUCGAGUGGCGAACGGGUGAGUAACACGUGAGUAACCUGCCCUUGACUUUGGGAUAACUUCAGGAAACUGGGGCUAAUACCGGAUAGGAGCUCCUGCUGCAUGGUGGGGGUUGGAAAGUUUCGGCGGUUGGGGAUGGACUCGCGGCUUAUCAGCUUGUUGGUGGGGUAGUGGCUUACCAAGGCUUUGACGGGUAGCCGGCCUGAGAGGGUGACCGGCCACAUUGGGACUGAGAUACGGCCCAGACUCCUACGGGAGGCAGCAGUGGGGAAUAUUGCACAAUGGGCGGAUGCCUGAUGCAGCAACGCCGCGUGCGGGAUGACGGCCUUCGGGUUGUAAACCGCUUUCGCCUGUGACGAAGCGUGAGUGACGGUAAUGGGUAAAGAAGCACCGGCUAACUACGUGCCAGCAGCCGCGGUGAUACGUAGGGUGCGAGCGUUGUCCGGAUUUAUUGGGCGUAAAGGGCUCGUAGGUGGUUGAUCGCGUCGGAAGUGUAAUCUUGGGGCUUAACCCUGAGCGUGCUUUCGAUACGGGUUGACUUGAGGAAGGUAGGGGAGAAUGGAAUUCCUGGUGGAGCGGUGGAAUGCGCAGAUAUCAGGAGGAACACCAGUGGCGAAGGCGGUCCUCUGGGCCUUUCCUGACGCUGAGGAGCGAAAGCGUGGGGAGCGAACAGGCUUAGAUACCCUGGUAGUCCACGCUGUAAACGGUGGGUACUAGGUGUGGGGUCCAUUCCACGGGUUCCGUGCCGUAGCUAACGCUUUAAGUACCCCGCCUGGGGAGUACGGCCGCAAGGCUAAAACUCAAAGGAAUUGACGGGGCCCCGCACAAGCGGCGGAGCAUGCGGAUUAAUUCGAUGCAACGCGUAGAACCUUACCUGGGUUUGACAUGGAUCGGGAGUGCUCAGAGAUGGGUGUGCCUCUUUUGGGGUCGGUUCACAGGUGGUGCAUGGCUGUCGUCAGCUCGUGUCGUGAGAUGUUGGGUUAAGUCCCGCAACGAGCGCAACCCUUGUUCACUGUUGCCAGCACGUUAUGGUGGGGACUCAGUGGAGACCGCCGGGGUCAACUCGGAGGAAGGUGGGGAUGACGUCAAGUCAUCAUGCCCCUUAUGUCCAGGGCUUCACGCAUGCUACAAUGGCUGGUACAGAGAGUGGCGAGCCUGUGAGGGUGAGCGAAUCUCGGAAAGCCGGUCUCAGUUCGGAUUGGGGUCUGCAACUCGACCUCAUGAAGUCGGAGUCGCUAGUAAUCGCAGAUCAGCAACGCUGCGGUGAAUACGUUCCCGGGGCU
RNAcentral lists this ribosomal RNA (1346 nucleotides) under uncultured bacterium. RNAcentral describes it as "partial 16S ribosomal RNA". It matches the Rfam family "Bacterial small subunit ribosomal RNA", at positions 28 to 1381 of the family's 1533-position model. The record is from RNAcentral.